This 54-nucleotide transfer RNA is filed under the name Polyacanthorhynchus caballeroi. RNAcentral describes it as "tRNA-Lys". The record is from RNAcentral. Lineage: Eukaryota; Metazoa; Acanthocephala; Polyacanthocephala; Polyacanthorhynchidae.
UUGGGUUCGUAGGGGCAGUUGGUUGAUCUUUUGUGUCAAUGGGGAAGCUUUUAU